CAUGCAAGUCGAACGGCAGCGCGGGAGCAAUCCUGGCGGCGAGUGGCGAACGGGUGAGUAAUACAUCGGAACGUGUCCUGUAGUGGGGGAUAGCCCGGCGAAAGCCGGAUUAAUACCGCAUACGAUCUACGGAUGAAAGCGGGGGAUCGCAAGACCUCGCGCUAUAGGGGCGGCCGAUGGCGGAUUAGCUAGUUGGUGGGGUAAAGGCCCACCAAGGCGACGAUCCGUAGCUGGUCUGAGAGGACGACCAGCCACACUGGGACUGAGACACGGCCCAGACUCCUACGGGAGGCAGCAGUGGGGAAUUUUGGACAAUGGGCGCAAGCCUGAUCCAGCAAUGCCGCGUGUGUGAAGAAGGCCUUCGGGUUGUAAAGCACUUUUGUCCGGAAAGAAAUCCUCUGGGUUAAUACCCCGGGGGGAUGACGGUACCGGAAGAAUAAGCACCGGCUAACUACGUGCCAGCAGCCGCGGUAAUACGUAGGGUGCGAGCGUUAAUCGGAAUUACUGGGGCGUAAGCGUGCGCAGGCGGUGAUGUAAGACCGAUGUGAAAUCCCCGGGCUUACCUGGGAACUGCAUGGGUGACUGCA
Molecule: ribosomal RNA, 587 nt
Filed under: Burkholderia sp. Ms90
Lineage: Bacteria; Pseudomonadati; Pseudomonadota; Betaproteobacteria; Burkholderiales; Burkholderiaceae
Description: bacterial SSU rRNA
Rfam family: Bacterial small subunit ribosomal RNA
Source: RNAcentral